UCGAACUUUAUUCGGAUGCUA
Molecule: non-coding RNA, 21 nt
Filed under: Arabidopsis thaliana (thale cress)
Lineage: Eukaryota; Viridiplantae; Streptophyta; Magnoliopsida; Brassicales; Brassicaceae
Source: RNAcentral